AGAUAAAUUAUCUGGCAUAUGCACAUAAAGUGCAUUUCUUUUGUUUUUCUUUAAUUAAUUUCAAUGGUCACAAUGGUAAAGAUCAGCAACAACAACAACAAAAAUCCAUUCUAGGAAAAUGCUACUCUUUUCCAUGGAUAGCGCGCUCAUUUAACUUGUUGUAAUUUCAUUAAGGUUAACAACAAAAUUUACCUGCCUUCUUCAUGUGAUAAAAAUCAAUAUUUUCCCUAUAUCAUUGUAAAACUAAGGUUCGAUUCAUAAUUUGUGUGUAUACAUAUUCGUAAAAACACUUGAGGAAAAUGGAUUCUAGAGUCUAGAUAAUCUUUCCUACGUAUUAACAACCUUCAUGUGUAAGUAGAUUUCUAGUUUCAAUUUCGGUUGUUUAGAAUUUACUAAUUUUUUGUGUUACAGCAUUGUGCUCAGAAAAUAUACUCUGUAUAAUUUCUGCUCUUAAAUUUCAUCAGUAGUUUCUUUGUUGCCUGAUCCUAAUUCCAUUGACUGGAGAAGCAGAUUGUCCAUGUGAAAGGUUUAACAUUCAAUAUGCAGCUAUUAGGGGCAUCCCUAGAAAUCUCAUCGAUUGGAUGGAUGCUGUCUGAAAAUUGAUGGAUUUGGUCUGAAAAUUUUUGUCUUUUCGUAGGAAGUUUAACGUAUUUAUACUCAUAAUUAGAACAGUGCUCGCCGGUGAAAAUAACAGUACAGGCACGAAAUGAUGGCAACCAGCAGGGACAAAAGGAAUAGGAUGGGAGCCAGACCACAGGUAUCCAGGAAUAUUCCCAACGUAGGGACCUUAAAAAGGAGUUUUCAUUACUUCAGCAGAUAAGAUGGAUGCCGAGUCCGCGCCUGGCGGGGUACUGCACAAUGUCAAGGAUGAGUGGGAUGAUUUUCGUGAUAGAAACUGAGAGGAUCAGAACUCCUAAGCACCAGACCCAGUGACCAUGACCUCUGCCGAAGGCAGACACUUAAACUCACUGAGCCACAAAGGUACCUUCUGACUGACUUUUCGAAGGCAGUGCAAUCAUCCUCUA
Molecule: long non-coding RNA, 1025 nt
Organism: Mustela erminea (ermine)
Lineage: Eukaryota; Metazoa; Chordata; Mammalia; Carnivora; Mustelidae
Exons: 4
Source: RefSeq, a predicted model, not a curated record